Molecule: ribosomal RNA, 264 nt
Filed under: uncultured bacterium
Lineage: Bacteria
Description: partial 16S ribosomal RNA
Rfam family: Bacterial small subunit ribosomal RNA
Source: RNAcentral
UGGCGACCGGCGCACGGGUGAGUAACACGUAUCCAACCUGCCGAUGACUCGGGGAUAGCCUUUCGAAAGAAAGAUUAAUACCCGAUGGCAUAGCUCUUCCGCAUGGUAGAACUAUUAAAGAAUUUCGGUCAUCGAUGGGGAUGCGUUCCAUUAGGUUGUUGGCGGGGUAACGGCCCACCAAGCCUUCGAUGGAUAGGGGUUCUGAGAGGAAGGUCCCCCACAUUGGAACUGAGACACGGUCCAAACUCCUACGGGAGGCAGCAG